GCGGGAUAGCACAGUGGUAGUGCAUCGGAAUCAUAAUCCGCUGGUCGGGGGUUCGAAUCCCUCUCCCGCC
This 70-nucleotide transfer RNA is filed under the name bovine gut metagenome. It matches the Rfam family "tRNA". From Rfam's summary of the family: Transfer RNA (tRNA) molecules are approximately 80 nucleotides in length. The record is from RNAcentral.